UUAUUUACUAUGAAGAGAAGAGUAAACUUAGGAAGUAACUCUCAGCGAGCAGAUUAUGGUGUGAGUUCUGCAGUGUAUCCUAUUUUGAAGAACAUCUCUGAGUUUCUAACCGAAAUCCCUUUUAGGAGAGUAGACUUAGACGGUUUCAGGCCGUUAUACUUGAAGAACAUUUUUGUGUUCAUAAAGCCGGCUAUUUUAUAGCAAUUUGGGUGGUACCGCGAAUAAUGCCAUUCGUCCCAUUA
This 242-nucleotide non-coding RNA is filed under the name Clostridium perfringens. RNAcentral describes it as "T-box sequence". It matches the Rfam family "T-box leader". From Rfam's summary of the family: Uncharged tRNA acts as the effector for transcription antitermination of genes in the T-box leader family. T-boxes are found upstream of many aminoacyl-tRNA synthetase genes and some amino acid biosynthetic genes usually in Gram-positive bacteria. Lineage: Bacteria; Bacillati; Bacillota; Clostridia; Eubacteriales; Clostridiaceae. The record is from RNAcentral.